Macrobrachium nipponense is the source of this 2672-nucleotide long non-coding RNA. RefSeq lists it as uncharacterized. The transcript is spliced from 3 exons. The record is from RefSeq and is a predicted model, not a curated record. Lineage: Eukaryota; Metazoa; Arthropoda; Malacostraca; Decapoda; Palaemonidae.
GCGUCUUACAUGUCCAUUCAGCUCUUCCGUAACGGGCUGUGUGCUCAUUGGCAGUAGAUCAGAAAUACACGCUAUACGCCUAUACAUGUAUGAGCAGAAUAGUGCCAGUGUAAUUUCAACUCGAAAAGCACCAACAAAUAUCUAUAUUUUUUUGGGAUGCCACUGACCGUUAUUUUAGUGAUGGCCAUCACAGCCUUCACCUAUCGCGUUGAAUGACCUACAUUCAGGCCAAGAAAUAGGUGACGUGAGCGAGAGAGGCAGUGAAAGCGUGGCAGAAGAAAAGAAAUGCUCGUGGCCAUUAAUAAGAUUAGAUUAAAACGCUAUCACGGCCCAGGUGAACUUUCCCUGGUGAGGCGAGCACCCUCUUCGCUGGAAACAGGUUCGAUGAUUGAUCAGCCUCUUUCUCAACACUGCAAUGGCUCCUUUCGGCACCAGUGAGGGAUUUCGAGUAUAAGGCCACUGGACGUCGGUGAAAAUUGCUUGAAAAGUUUAUCUGAAACUUCCUCUCAUUUUGUCGCCAGACGUUACCAUGUUUGGAGAGAGGCUUCAUUUAUAGUUGUCCGCUUAACAUUUGUAUAGUUAUUGACCCUCUCGCCUCUGUUACCGUAAUAUCUGUAAUGUACCCCUGCUAUUGCCACUCAAAUAUUUGCCAUAGAAAAAAAAGUUUUUGUUUUUGGUUUUAGCAUUUGUUCUUAGAAAAAUUCAAGACAUUUGUAAUAUAAGGCAUUUUGUUUUAAAACUCUCCCAUUACUCCCAGAAUGGUCUCCUUGCACCAGUUUACUGUCAUCAAACGGAUGGCAGGAGCCAGGGUCCCUGCUCCUUCGUCCACAAUGUCAUGCCUCCCUUCUGCGUCCGUAUGAAAUUUCGUAAAUAGAAAGACACUCUUGGGCUUACGUCUUUUUUCAAUGUGGGUUUGUUUAUAUUUUUGAUAAUAAUGGUAAAAAUCACUCGGGAACUAUAAUUCACCAAAUUACACACAGACUGCUGUCAACUACCGUGUAAGCCGUGAAUGUGCAUUGAGGUUUUUAUUACCCUCGCAGCCAAAGAGAGCAGGAAAGUAGUUGCUAAGCGCCUGUGAAUCUUGAGUGUAGGAUACUGAGAAAUUUAAAGAGCAUGUAUUAAAUAAGAGGCAGUCUGAUGAAAAAUUAUAUGUAGUAUGAAGUACAUUAUUUGCGUGUACGUUAAACACACACACACGGAAAAGGACGACGUCAUCGUAUUUUGAUUCAUGGAUUUUAUAAGAUUUGCCAAUCAGUUUUGCCUUUCUUAGGAAAUUGAUACAAAAAAGUUUCCCGUGUUUCAUGUGCAGCGAUGUAGGCCAAUAGCAGAUUUUAUUUUUGCAAUUUAGAUUUUCAGCGAAGAGGUAUUUCUCAUUUUAGAAAGCUGGAACUUUUGUUCAUAAGAUCUUUAGCAAGGGAUGAGGUUACAAGGGUCAGAGCACGCUAAUUCAUGUCACAGCAUUAGCAACCCCUCGUCCAGGAGAUAUAUAUUAUAUGAUGAUAAUUUUAGUCUUACUCUCUACUUUUGGUGAAGGUCUGUCAUUGGUCUGAUGAGACUCAAACUCUAUUAAUUAAAUCUGGAUUGGCUGACACUUUUCAAGGCGCGAGCUCAUCUUUCAUAUAUUUUCGACUGUUAUUCCUUCAUAUUUAAGUUGUGACAGUUAUUAGUUCUUGACUGUGUUAUUUUCGCCAAGAUGUAGCGCAUCCUAAAUUUUGCGUUAUUACACCAAGUAUUAAAGCUGAAGCUAUUAUCUUGUUAUGGUCAAAGUUCCCAUAAAAUAUGGAAGAGAUUGCAUGAAUUGCUAAAAUGUCACAGAACAGACAUGAAUCGAAUGUUUUAGAAUGGAAUCUAAAAAUAUCAAGGGUAGCGAAUACAAUAGAAAAAUGAGUAUUAGAGUGUUUGCUCUAUUCAAGACUUGCUAUUACAGAAAGGACCGAGUAGCGUUCUUCUUCAAGGUCUUAAUAGUGGCCUCGGCGGCGUGGUUGGUAUGGUAUUAGCGUCCCACCUCGGUGGUAGCGGGUUCGAUUCCCGGCCAUUCCAUUGAGGAGUGAGAGAUGUGUAUUUCUGGUGAUAGAAGUUCACUCUCGACGUCGUUCGGAAGUCACGUAAAGCCGUUGGUCCCGUUGCUGAAUAACCACUUGUUCCAUGCAACGUACAAACAAACAAUCAAUAGUGGAAUUCAUCCCAAUCAUAUUACGUACUACAUGAAACAUACAUUUAUUAAGAAGUCAUGAUUUGAAUAGGAGCUUAAGCUUAUGUACUUUGUAUUAGAAAUAUUGAUGACUUGUGAGACAAAUAGUUAUGAGAAGAUUACUUUUUAAAAAUGAACCUCUGGAAAUAAACAAUGGAAGCCACUAGUUUCUAUUUUGUCUUUAUUCCAUUUGGCAUAUGAAAGGGUUCAUGGCUACCCCAAUAGUCGCUUCGAGUUCACUGAAUAAUUGCGUGUCACACUGAGACACUUUUCGCUCUCCAGUAAAAAAUAACUUAGGAUUUUCAUCUAGUACUCAAGGCUGGCGUGGGAACGGCCCUGAACAUAUUCCCGAGGAAGCAUGGCUGACACGUGAGGCUUUGUAACGCUGCUUUUGUUUUCCACCGUGGGGCUUGAUUAUGGUAAUUGUGCCGAAUGUGGUGUAAGGUCCUGUGGGUGUACGCACACCUUUCCUGUUGUCAGC